Non-coding RNA from Myriangium duriaei CBS 260.36, 144 nucleotides. NCBI's taxonomy places the organism in Eukaryota, Fungi, Ascomycota, Dothideomycetes, Myriangiales, Myriangiaceae. The record is from the annotation of a GenBank genome assembly.
GGUCGCUUAGCUCAGUUGGUUAGAGCGUGGUGGUUCGUGCACCUCAAUCCCGUCUUCCACGGUUCGAUUCUAACAGUCUCCUAGCUAAUAUGGAUAUCAAUCCAGACAACGCCAAGGUCGCGAGUUCGACCCUCGUAGUGACCA